UACAGAGGUCUCAAGCGUUGUUCGGAUUCAUUGGGCGUAAAGGGUGCGUAGGCGGUCGUGCAAGUCGGAUGUGAAAUCUUAGGGCUCAACCCUGAAACUGCAUUCGAUACUGCAUGGCUUGAGUACUGGAGGGGAGACUGGAAUUUACGGUGUAGCAGUGAAAUGCGUAGAUAUCGUAAGGAAGACCAGUGGCGAAGGCGAGUCUCUGGACAGUUACUGACGCUGAGGCACGAAGGCCAGGGGAGCAAACGGG
This 253-nucleotide ribosomal RNA is filed under the name uncultured bacterium. RNAcentral's name for it is "partial 16S ribosomal RNA". It matches the Rfam family "Bacterial small subunit ribosomal RNA", at positions 524 to 776 of the family's 1533-position model. The record is from RNAcentral.